UCACUGUAGUUUUAUUUGUUUUAUUUUUAAGAAAAAUAUAUGAAAAAAACUUUUAUAUUUUUUAUGGUAAUUCAAAGUGACAUAUCUGAUAUAUGAUAAUUUUUUAUUUUAAAUGCCAUAUUUUUUUCUAUUAAGUUUGGUACCUAGCUUUAUUUUUCCCAUAUUUAUAUGUAAAUACCCCUUAAAACAAUCAUUUUUCUAUUAUAUAAAGUGGUGUUAUCCUGGGCUAGAGCCUUCAGGAUGCAUGCUCUCUGUUUUCCCUCCAGUACCCAAACUGGGUUUUUGGUCCACCCAAAUCGGUAUUGUGGUGGUAUCUGGUUCCUCUUUUGGGGAAUUAAUCCUCAUCAUUUCUUUUUUCAUCUCAUUAAUUGCAACAUUAAUGGUACUCACGAUUAUUAUCUCCAAUAUCUUUCAUCAGACCAAGUUUUUCUUAGCAUUUAUUAUCUUUUGGCCUCUCAUUUAACUCUUAGGUUGCAUUUGCAUUUAUUAUCUUCUCUUUUCUUCUACCAAGUCUCUAACUAUCAAAUCAUCAGAUAUCUCUUAAACCCAUUUUCCUUCAUCAAGGUGGCGGCGAAGAGAAUCGAAAGACUUGAUGAUGCUUGGGAGAAUGGAAUAAUCAUGAUGUCUACCCAGGUUAGAGGCCAAGCUAUGACCAGAGGCAAGCCAAGAGAAAUAAUCUUUUUCAUAAUAAGAAGUUGCUGCCACCCUGGCAUCUUUAUGAUCAGGCUGUGAGUUAUUUGUUGGAGUAUGAGCAUGCUAAUCUACCUGGUUUUAAACCAGAUAAUAUCAAUCUCAGAUGUAAUGAGCAGGUUCAAGUUUUGCAACAUGAAGGAUGGAAAGUUAAUACGGAUGCGGGUGUUAGCAGUUCUGAUAGGAAGCAUAGUUUGGGUGUGGUGGUUACAGAUGAAAAUGAUGAUGUUAAGGCUGGCCUAAUUGUACCUAUGGUUGGUUCAGUUCCACCGGAGGUUGCGGAGGCUAAAGCUAUUUUGGCUGCUAUUUCUUGGGUACAAGCCACCAAGCUUCCUGUUAAUGUCUUGCAAACUGAUUGUAAAAGCAUAGUAGAUAAAAUUUAUAAUGCUAAAUGUCAUAAUUCUGUUGUUAAUGAUAUUGUCCUUUGUAUUAAGAACUCAUUGUUGUUCAGUCCUAAUCUGGUCAUUGUCCAUGUUCCUCGUGAGCUUAAUAAAAUUGCUCAUGUGUGUGCUAGGGCAGGUUUAGGAUUAGACAGUGAGUGUGUAUGGAAUGGUUCUUUACCUUCCUUUGUAACCUGAAUUUCUUGUAUUUGUCUUGAUUAAUAAAGGUUCGGGUUUUUCAAAAAAAAAAAAAA
Molecule: RNA transcript, 1324 nt
Organism: Cannabis sativa
Lineage: Eukaryota; Viridiplantae; Streptophyta; Magnoliopsida; Rosales; Cannabaceae
Exons: 2
Source: RefSeq, a predicted model, not a curated record